CGCUUUGCGCAGUGGCAGUAUUGUAGCCAAUGAGCUUUAUCUGAGGUGCGAUUAUUGCUAAUUGAAAAACAAUAGUAUACCAAACAUCCUAUCAUAUUUCUAAAUAAGAAAAAUAUCAGAUACUGUGAUAAAAUA
Small nuclear RNA from Hyaena hyaena (striped hyena), 135 nucleotides. RefSeq annotates it as U4 spliceosomal RNA. The record is from RefSeq and is a predicted model, not a curated record. The transcript has a single exon. Lineage: Eukaryota; Metazoa; Chordata; Mammalia; Carnivora; Hyaenidae.